This 1035-nucleotide ribosomal RNA is filed under the name Triticum aestivum (bread wheat). Its description in RNAcentral is "partial small subunit ribosomal RNA". The record is from RNAcentral. Lineage: Eukaryota; Viridiplantae; Streptophyta; Magnoliopsida; Poales; Poaceae.
AUGACGCAAAAUAGGGCUAAGUGGACAGCAAGGUAUGAGAAAGGUCUCGUGGAGGUACUUACAGAGUACAAUCUAUCUCAUUACCGUGGUCAAAAUGGGUGGACUACCGAAGGAUGGAAUCAAGUUGUCAAGGAACUGAACAAUUUAUAUCCAGAGGCAAGGUUUACCAAGGAUCAGGUUCAAGAUAAGGAAGCUCAGUUGAAAAAGCACUACAAAAAUAUCAAGUUGAUAGUCAACCGCUCUGGAAUAUCAUGGAAUGAUAUUGCAUGUGUGAUCAACACCACGCCUGAAAAAUGGGAAGAGAUCAUUGCAGAGGACCCAAAGCUCAAAAUGUAUGAAGGAAAGAGCUUUCCAUUGUACGAGGCAUUGGGUGUGCUCUAUGAAGGACACAUUGCGCAAGGAAGACACUGCCUCACAUCAAGGAAGCCUCCGAUUGGCACAAAAACAGGUAGCAACUUUGGAGCGAAGGAUAAGAUGGUUGCAAGCACUAGCAAGAAAAAUACAAGACAUGGAAGAGAUGACAACGUAAGGACUUCUUCAAUAAUUGACAUCAAUGAUACUCCUACAUUAGAUGAUGUGGAUGAAAGAGAGAACACUGUCAAUGACGAGGAAGAAUUAGGCAGUGAAGAUGCUGAUGGCGAUCAACCACAAAUAAGUGAAUCAAGUGCAAAAGGGAAAAAAACUAAGAAACAAAAAGGUGCCACAUCUGUACAGCGGCUUGAAGAUUCCAUGAUGGCUUAUGUGAAUUUCAAGAAAGAUCAAGCUUCCAAGAAGGAAAAAGUGUCACAGCAAGGAAAACAACCCUCAAUUACAGAAUGCUUGCAGGUCUUGAAUGACAUGGAUGAUGUUCCCGACGAGGUCAAAAUCUUUGCCUCUGAUGUUUUCAAGGAUGCAGCAAAUCGUGAGAUUUUCCUGGGUUACAACUCAAGAUUGCGGGGUAUGUGGCUAAAGAAGGAAGUCGACAAGAUUAGUCCUCAGCCUCCUCCUUCUCGGUUUUCAUCUGGCGAUAUUCCUUCAAUCAAUCUGGUGCUCUGA